AAUGAUGUGCCUGAUAAAAGGACUAUUUUGAUAGAGUAGAUUAUACAAUAUUUUGUCAUCAUUA
This 64-nucleotide transfer RNA is filed under the name Coleoptera sp. 9 KM-2017. RNAcentral describes it as "tRNA-Ile". The record is from RNAcentral. Lineage: Eukaryota; Metazoa; Arthropoda; Insecta; Coleoptera.